CAACUUUCCUCUACGGAUCUCUUGGUUCUGGCAUCGAUUAAGAACGCAGCGCAAUGCGAUAAGUAGUGUGAAUUGCAUAAUUCAGUGAAUCAUCGCAUCUUUGAACGCACAUUGCGCCCCUUGGUAUUCCAUAGGGCAUGCCUGUUCGAGCGUCAGUU
Molecule: ribosomal RNA, 158 nt
Filed under: Alternaria sp.
Lineage: Eukaryota; Fungi; Ascomycota; Dothideomycetes; Pleosporales; Pleosporaceae
Description: 5.8S ribosomal RNA
Rfam family: 5.8S ribosomal RNA
About the family: 5.8S ribosomal RNA (5.8S rRNA) is a component of the large subunit of the eukaryotic ribosome. It is transcribed by RNA polymerase I as part of the 45S precursor that also contains 18S and 28S rRNA.
Source: RNAcentral